GCACUGCGAGGGAAACAGAGAACACGGGGAGGGAGGAAUUAGCAGCGCCGGUGCAAAAGCUGCAGUCGUGUCUCACCGAAGAAGGAGCGGUGAAUGGAGGUUUGAAAAAAAAAGAAAAAAGGAGUCUUUCUUGAGGGUCUUUAUGUGGAUGUUGCGUAAACACAGACACAGACCUCCCGGGAAGCCACUUCCCAGUUGUUGUUCUCAAGUUUCCUCUUAUCACAGGACCAGAUUUUGCAGAACGGGUUUGACCCGUCAAUGCGAUCAAGGCAACUCGGCUGAAAAUGGAAAGCAAGUGUUUCCUGGCACUGGUUCAGUUGGGGGUGAAUGAUUAAUAUAAAAAAGGCAGCAUCCUGCUGCAGGGAAACGCUUUCAAGGAUCGGCGUGAUGACCCCGUAUGACUGAUAAACCACAUGGAGUCAAGAUGGAAGACGCGGGCGGGUGUGUGACACGGAGAACGGCCAGCGUGACAUCACUGAAAGUCAGAUUUUGCAGAUGUUAAGUCGAAAACAUCUGGCGAAAAUCAGGAGCGCUGCAUUGUUCUGUGAGACACAUAUCUCUUUAAAAGAAAACUAUAAAAGCAUCAGAGAUUAUUUGUAGCUGUGUGGUUUGUUGUUCCCUGGCAACACUACGACUGGAUGAGCCUGGUGUAUGCGCUAUUAG
Gasterosteus aculeatus aculeatus (three-spined stickleback) is the source of this 663-nucleotide non-coding RNA. The record is from RefSeq and is a predicted model, not a curated record. Lineage: Eukaryota; Metazoa; Chordata; Actinopteri; Perciformes; Gasterosteidae.